GGCGCUGUGGUACAGCGGGGUAGAACCCUGGCCUGCAACGCCGGCAUCCCAUAUGGGUACUGGUUCAAGUCCUGGCUGCUCCA
This 83-nucleotide transfer RNA is filed under the name Oryctolagus cuniculus (rabbit). It matches the Rfam family "tRNA". Rfam says of the family: Transfer RNA (tRNA) molecules are approximately 80 nucleotides in length. Their secondary structure includes four short double-helical elements and three loops (D, anti-codon, and T loops). Lineage: Eukaryota; Metazoa; Chordata; Mammalia; Lagomorpha; Leporidae. The record is from Rfam by way of RNAcentral.